This 1446-nucleotide ribosomal RNA is filed under the name uncultured Olsenella sp. RNAcentral describes it as "bacterial SSU rRNA". It matches the Rfam family "Bacterial small subunit ribosomal RNA". Lineage: Bacteria; Bacillati; Actinomycetota; Coriobacteriia; Coriobacteriales; Atopobiaceae. The record is from RNAcentral.
CUCAGGAUGAACGCUGGCGGCGCGCCUAACACAUGCAAGUCGAACGGUUAAAGCCCCUUCGGGGGUGCAUAAAGUGGCGAACGGCUGAGUAACACGUGGGCAACCUGCCCCCCCCACCGGGAUAGCCUCGCGAAAGCGGGAUUAAUACCGGAUGACCCGCGACCGGCGCAUGCCGGGCGCGGCAAAGCUUCGGCGGGAGGGGAUGGGCCCGCGGCCUGUUAGCUAGUUGGCGGGGCAACGGCCCACCAAGGCGACUAUGGGUAGCCGGGUUGAGAGACCGACCGGCCAGAUUGGGACUGAGACACGGCCCAGACUCCUACGGGAGGCAGCAGUGGGGAAUCUUGCGCAAUGGGCGGAAGCCUGACGCAGCGACGCCGCGUGCGGGACGAAGGCCUUCGGGUCGUAAACCGCUUUCAGCAGGGAAGAGGCCGAAAGGUGACGGUACCUGCAGAAGAAGCCCCGGCUAAAUACGUGCCAGCAGCCGCGGUAAUACGUAUGGGGCGAGCGUUAUCCGGAUUCAUUGGGCGUAAAGCGCGCGUAGGCGGCCGCGCAGGUCGGGAGUCAAAUCCGGGGGCUCAACCCCCGCCCGCUCCCGAAACCGCGCGGCUUGGGUCUGGUAGGGGAGGGUGGAAUUCCCGGUGUAGCGGUGGAAUGCGCAGAUAUCGGGAAGAACACCGGUGGCGAAGGCGGCCCUCUGGGCCACGACCGACGCUGAGGCGCGAAAGCUGGGGGAGCGAACAGGAUUAGAUACCCUGGUAGUCCCAGCCGUAAACGAUGGACGCUAGGUGUGGGGGGACCAUCCCUCCGUGCCGCAGCCAACGCAUUAAGCGUCCCGCCUGGGGAGUACGGCCGCAAGGCUAAAACUCAAAGGAAUUGACGGGGGCCCGCACAAGCAGCGGAGCAUGUGGCUUAAUUCGAAGCAACGCGAAGAACCUUACCUGGGCUUGACAUCACCGUGAGCCGGCGGAGACGCCGGGGCCGAGAGGAGCGGUGACAGGUGGUGCAUGGCUGUCGUCAGCUCGUGUCGUGAGAUGUUGGGUUAAGUCCCGCAACGAGCGCAACCCCCGUCGCGUGUUGCCAGCGGUUCGGCCGGGCACCCGCGCGAGACCGCCGGCGUCAAGCCGGAGGAAGGUGGGGACGACGUCAAGUCAUCAUGCCCCUUAUGUCCAGGGCUGCACACGUGCUACAAUGGCCGGCACAACGGGCUGCGAACCCGCGAGGGCGAGCGAAUCCCUUAAAGCCGGCCCCAGUUCGGAUCGGAGGCUGCAACCCGCCUCCGUGAAGUCGGAGUUGCUAGUAAUCGCGGAUCAGCACGCCGCGGUGAAUGCGUUCCCGGGCCUUGUACACACCGCCCGUCACACCACCCGAGUCGUCUGCACCCGAAGUCGCCGGCCCAACCCCUUUUGGGGAGGGAGGCGCCGAAGGUGUGGAGGGUAAGGGGGGUGA